This 377-nucleotide unclassified non-coding RNA is filed under the name soil metagenome. RNAcentral's name for it is "partial contains 5.8S ribosomal RNA, internal transcribed spacer 2, and large subunit ribosomal RNA". The stretch from base 1 to 120 matches the Rfam family "5.8S ribosomal RNA", at positions 35 to 154 of the family's 154-position model. The record is from RNAcentral.
GAUGAAGAACGCAGCGAAAUGCGAUAAGUAAUGUGAAUUGCAGAAUUCAGUGAAUCAUCGAAUCUUUGAACGCACCUUGCACCCUUUGGAAUUCCAAAGGGUAUGCUCGUUUGAGUGUCAUUGUACUCUCACACUUCCGAUCUUUGGAUUGGGAGCGGUGGACUUGGGUGUUGCUGCUUACUGUGGCUCACCUCAAAUCGAUUCGUGCACCUCUUGGUUGGACAUAGUACGGCGUGAUAAGUGUCUUCGCCGGCACCUCAGUAGAGGGUGGCUGAUCGGGAGCUCUGCUUCAAACCGUCCUCGGACAACAACUGACAACUUGACCUCAAAUCGAGUAGGACUACCCGCUGAACUUAAGCAUAUCAAUAAGCGGAGGA